Molecule: long non-coding RNA, 359 nt
Filed under: Bos taurus (domestic cattle)
Lineage: Eukaryota; Metazoa; Chordata; Mammalia; Artiodactyla; Bovidae
Description: long non-coding RNA NONBTAT014115
Source: RNAcentral
GGAUUCACUGUCCUCCGGACAUAUUCUUGCUCUUUCCCCUUGUCUGGAAUGCUUCUUGCUUCCUCUCCAGGUGUCCAUUCAUGCAUUGUUAACCCUUCAUCAGUGGGUCAGACAACAGUAGUCUUUAUUCAUACAUAACUGAGGUUCUGUGACACAGCUGUGAAUAGAUACUCCCAUAGCUUUGUAGGCCGUAGAGACCUGGUCCCUCUUUUUCAGCAGACCGUACUCUGGUCUUAUCUGCAUCUUGCUCGUGUAUAGGCCGCAGCUGGAAUCCCAUUCCUUCUGUGAACCCAUCCCAUCUUGAUACGCUCUCCUGAGUCCCUGUGAAGCUGAGUCAUUUUCCACGUAUUUGGCGAUUC